RNAcentral lists this ribosomal RNA (486 nucleotides) under uncultured bacterium. RNAcentral describes it as "partial 16S ribosomal RNA". It matches the Rfam family "Bacterial small subunit ribosomal RNA", at positions 30 to 507 of the family's 1533-position model. The record is from RNAcentral.
AUUGAACGCUGGCGGCAUGCCUUACACAUGCAAGUCGAACGGCAGCACGGGUGCUUGCACCUGGUGGCGAGUGGCGAACGGGUGAGUAAUACAUCGGAACAUGUCCUGUAGUGGGGGAUAGCCCGGCGAAAGCCGGAUUAAUACCGCAUACGAUCUACGGAUGAAAGCGGGGGACCUUCGGGCCUCGCGCUAUAGGGUUGGCCGAUGGCUGAUUAGCUAGUUGGUGGGGUAAAGGCCUACCAAGGCGACGAUCAGUAGCCGGUCUGAGAGGACGACCAGCCACACUGGGACUGAGACACGGCCCAGACUCCUACGGGAGGCAGCAGUGGGGAAUUUUGGACAAUGGGCGAAAGCCUGAUCCAGCAAUGCCGCGUGUGUGAAGAAGGCCUUCGGGUUGUAAAGCACUUUUGUCCGGAAAGAAAUCCUUGGCCCUAAUACGGUCGGGGGAUGACGGUACCGGAAGAAUAAGCACCGGCUAACUACGUG